This 256-nucleotide ribosomal RNA is filed under the name uncultured bacterium. RNAcentral describes it as "partial 16S ribosomal RNA". It matches the Rfam family "Bacterial small subunit ribosomal RNA", at positions 524 to 776 of the family's 1533-position model. The record is from RNAcentral.
UACGUAGGGUCCGAGCGUUGUCCGGAAUUACUGGGCGUAAAGAGCUCGUAGGUGGUUUGUCGCGUUGUUCGUGAAAAACUCACAGCUCAACUGUGGGCGUGCGGGCGAUACGGGCAGACUUGAGUACUGCAGGGGAGACUGGAAUUCCUGGUGUAGCGGUGGAAUGCGCAGAUAUCAGGAGGAACACCGGUGGCGAAGGCGGGUCUCUGGGCCACUACUGACGUGAGAAGCGAAAAGCAUGGGGGAGCGAAACAGG